AUUGCUUCUUGGCCUUUUGGCUAAGAUCAAGUGUAGUAUCAGUUGAAGUCUUGGCAUGUCCUCUCUUCAGGGACUCUCU
Molecule: small nuclear RNA, 79 nt
Filed under: Columba livia (rock pigeon)
Lineage: Eukaryota; Metazoa; Chordata; Aves; Columbiformes; Columbidae
Also listed under: 1 other name
Description: U2 spliceosomal RNA
Rfam family: U2 spliceosomal RNA
About the family: U2 is a small nuclear RNA (snRNA) component of the spliceosome (involved in pre-mRNA splicing). Complementary binding between U2 snRNA (in an area lying towards the 5' end but 3' to hairpin I) and the branchpoint sequence (BPS) of the intron results the bulging out of an unpaired adenosine, on the BPS, which initiates a nucleophilic attack at the intronic 5' splice site, thus starting the first of two transesterification reactions that mediate splicing.
Source: Rfam by way of RNAcentral